RNAcentral lists this ribosomal RNA (291 nucleotides) under uncultured microorganism. RNAcentral's name for it is "partial 16S ribosomal RNA". It matches the Rfam family "Bacterial small subunit ribosomal RNA", at positions 505 to 796 of the family's 1533-position model. The record is from RNAcentral.
GUGCCAGCAGCCGCGGUAAUACGAAGGGUGCAAGCGUUAAUCGGAAUUACUGGGCGUAAAGCGCGCGUAGGUGGUUCGUUAAGUUGGAUGUGAAAGCCCCGGGCUCAACCUGGGAACUGCAUCCAAAACUGGCGAGCUAGAGUACGGUAGAGGGUUGGUGGAAUUUCCUGUGUAGCGGUGAAAUGCGUAGAUAUAGGAAGGAACACCAGUGGCGAAGCGACCACCUGGACUGAUACUGACACUGAGUGCGAAAGCGUGGGGAGCAAACAGGGUUAGAUACCCUGGUAGUCC